This 459-nucleotide ribosomal RNA is filed under the name uncultured bacterium. Its description in RNAcentral is "partial 16S ribosomal RNA". It matches the Rfam family "Bacterial small subunit ribosomal RNA", at positions 338 to 795 of the family's 1533-position model. The record is from RNAcentral.
CCUACGGGCGGCAGCAGUGAGGAAUAUUGGUCAAUGGCCGAGAGGCUGAACCAGCCAAGUCGCGUGAGGGAAGACGGCCCUACGGGUUGUAAACCUCUUUUGUCGGGGAGCAAAGCGAACCACGUGUGGUUCAUUGAGAGUACCCGAAGAAAAAGCAGCGGCUAACUCCGUUCCAGCAGCCGCGGUAAUAAGGAGGAUGCGAGCGUUAUCCGGAUUUGGUGGGUUUAAAGGGUGCGCAGGCGGAGGUGCAAGUCAGCGGUCAAAUUGCGGGGCUCAACCCCGUACUGCCGUUGAAACUGCAUCCCUUGAGUGCGCGAGAAGUAUGCGGAAUGCGUGGUGUAGCGGUGAAAUGCAUAGAUAUCACGCAGAACUCCGAUUGCGAAGGCAGCAUACCGGCGCGCAACUGACGCUCAUGCACGAAAGCGUGGGUAUCGAACAGGAUUAGAUACCCCAGUAGUC